Molecule: ribosomal RNA, 547 nt
Filed under: Selaginella delicatula
Lineage: Eukaryota; Viridiplantae; Streptophyta; Lycopodiopsida; Selaginellales; Selaginellaceae
Description: partial 26S ribosomal RNA
Rfam family: Eukaryotic large subunit ribosomal RNA
Source: RNAcentral
CCUCCUGCUUAUGCUGCCGCCGUCUCCUGUGUGCAGGUGUGCGCCGGUCUCCGGCAGGGCUUUUUGCCCUUGCACUCCUCCGAUGCUGGUGCUCUGGGCGUUCCAUUCGACCCGUCUUGAAACACGGACCAAGGAGUCUAACAUGUAUGCGAGCCUGCGGGUGAUAGACCUUGCUAGGCGAAAGGAAACUGAUCUGUGGGAUCCCCAAUCGGGGUGCACCAUUGACCGACCUUGAUCUUCUGUGAAAGGUUCGAGUGAUAGUAUACCUGUUAGGACCCGAAAGAUGGUGAACUAUGCCUGAGCAGGGCGAAGCCAGAGGAAACUCUGGUGGAGGCUCGUAGCGAUACUGACGUGCAAAUCGUUCGUUGGACUUGGGUAUAGGGGCGAAAGACUAAUCGAACCAUCUAGUAGCUGGUUCCGGCUGAAGUUUCCCUCAGGAUAGCUGGAGCUCAUUUCGAGUUUUAUCGGGUAAAGCGAAUGAUUAGAGGCCUCGGGGGUGAAACACCCUCGACCUAUUCUCAAACUUUAAAUAGGUAAAGUGUCAGGG